RNAcentral lists this ribosomal RNA (498 nucleotides) under uncultured bacterium. Its description in RNAcentral is "partial 16S ribosomal RNA". It matches the Rfam family "Bacterial small subunit ribosomal RNA", at positions 28 to 507 of the family's 1533-position model. The record is from RNAcentral.
GACGAACGCUGGCGGCGUGCCUAAUACAUGCAAGUCGAACGAGAGCGACCGGUGCUUGCACUGGUCAAUCUAGUGGCGAACGGGUGAGUAACACGUGGGUAACCUGCCCAUCAGAGGGGGAUAACAUCCGGAAACGGAUGCUAAAACCGCAUAGGUCUUCGAGUCGCAUGGCUUGAAGAGGAAAAGAGGCGCAAGCUUCUGCUGAUGGAUGGACCCGCGGUGCAUUAGCUAGUUGGUGAGGUAACGGCUCACCAAGGCCGUGAUGCAUAGCCGACCUGAGAGGGUGAUCGGCCACAUUGGGACUGAGACACGGCCCAAACUCCUACGGGAGGCAGCAGUAGGGAAUCUUCCGCAAUGGAUGCAAGUCUGACGGAGCAACGCCGCGUGAGUGAAGAAGGUUUUCGGAUCGUAAAACUCUGUUGUUAGAGAAGAACAAGUGCUAGAGUAACUGUUAGCGCCUUGACGGUAUCUAACCAGAAAGCCACGGCUAACUACGUG